UUUUCUUCUCCUACGACCAGCAACAAGCGGCGCUCCACUCCUCCUUGUCAACAAGCGGCGCUCCACUCCUUGUCCUCCGUUUGAUCCUAGCUGCCGCUGUCGUUUCGUCGCGUCUAUAGCCACCGGCAAAUGGCCUAUCAAGUUCAUAGAUCCAUCUAGUUUUGUCCAACUUUUACUUUUUACAUCUUAUGUCUUUGUACUUUUUGAUUCUUCUCAAUUUGGUGCAAACUCUAUAAACCUUUAAUUUCUUCCUCAAAUUUGGCCCCAACUUCUAGAUGCGAACUUCAGCCCCCAAAAUAUGUAAAUAUUUAUAAAAAUGCAAUAUGAACACCUAAAUGACUUAAAUGAAC
This 350-nucleotide long non-coding RNA is filed under the name Brassica napus (rape). Its description in RNAcentral is "long non-coding RNA (BNAP_LNC023061)". Lineage: Eukaryota; Viridiplantae; Streptophyta; Magnoliopsida; Brassicales; Brassicaceae. The record is from RNAcentral.